RNAcentral lists this microRNA precursor (200 nucleotides) under Oryza meridionalis. RNAcentral describes it as "MIR812 microRNA precursor family". It matches the Rfam family "MIR812 microRNA precursor family". Lineage: Eukaryota; Viridiplantae; Streptophyta; Magnoliopsida; Poales; Poaceae. The record is from Rfam by way of RNAcentral.
UUUAAAUAUAUUUGUGAAAUUUUUGUUAAACGUUUGUAUGUCUGUCUGAUUUAUUUUUUUUAUGAUUAAUAUUUUUAUUGUUAUUAUACGAUAAAAACAUAAAUAAUACUUUAUGUAUGACUUUUUUUAUUUUUUUAUAAAAUUUUUAAAUAAGAUGGACGGUCAAAUGUUGAAUACAGAAAUCCAUAAAUACACUUGAA